UGGCCUACUGGUGAGUGUCAUGAAUGGU
This 28-nucleotide non-coding RNA is filed under the name Mus musculus (house mouse). Lineage: Eukaryota; Metazoa; Chordata; Mammalia; Rodentia; Muridae. The record is from RNAcentral.